AUGGCAAUAUCGUUUACAAGUAUACAUGAAACAAACUAUUUUUCCUACACCUCUUUGUUCUAUGUAAUGGUGCUCUUGGUUGAGUGUGCUGACGAAAGAGAUUCCAUGCUACACGCUAGAUCUAUGCUGUCACGGCAACACAGGCCAAUACACAUUCAGGAAAUAUGUCACCAACUUCCCCAAGGUCCCGCAUCGUCUACUCAGGAUAUUCUGUGCCCCAAGCCCUACAGAAUAAUGCCCAAUUUCAGCAGUGGGCAUGACAUCCUCGAACUUCUCUCUUCAAUAUUGAAGAAGCGGCUUACUCAGAUCAAUAGGCAUGCACUUAGAAAAAUAGCUAAAGAGUACGAGAUAUUCCUAGAGUAA
This 363-nucleotide ribosomal RNA is filed under the name Triticum aestivum (bread wheat). Its description in RNAcentral is "partial small subunit ribosomal RNA". Lineage: Eukaryota; Viridiplantae; Streptophyta; Magnoliopsida; Poales; Poaceae. The record is from RNAcentral.